UUGGUUUAUUGGUUAAAAGACUUUUUAUUUAUUUUAAAAUGGGUCGUCUUUUAAUUUCAAUGAUUGAAUUUUCUUUAUUUUUUUGGGAUCAUGGAGAAUGGGCACAUGGUCAGGAAGUGGGUUUCCCUAUUUUAUUUUCCUUAGAUAUUUCAAAUUUUCUAAUAAUUAUAAUGUGAAAUUUUGAAACUAAAUUUGGACGAAUUUAAAAUAUUUUUACCUAUCAUGUGUAUUAAAAACACGUUUUAAUUCAAAAUGAAUCUUUGGUUUUU
Molecule: long non-coding RNA, 269 nt
Filed under: Capsella rubella
Lineage: Eukaryota; Viridiplantae; Streptophyta; Magnoliopsida; Brassicales; Brassicaceae
Description: long non-coding RNA (CRUB_LNC004700)
Source: RNAcentral